This 460-nucleotide ribosomal RNA is filed under the name uncultured bacterium. RNAcentral's name for it is "partial 16S ribosomal RNA". It matches the Rfam family "Bacterial small subunit ribosomal RNA", at positions 338 to 795 of the family's 1533-position model. The record is from RNAcentral.
CCUACGGGAGGCAGCAGUGAGGAAUAUUGGUCAAUGGACGAGAGUCUGAACCAGCCAAGUAGCGUGAAGGAUGACUGCCCUAUGGGUUGUAAACUUCUUUUAUAUGGGAAUAAAACAGGGUAUGCAUACCCUCUUGUAUGUACCAUAUGAAUAAGGAUCGGCUAACUCCGUGCCAGCAGCCGCGGUAAUACGGAGGAUCCGAGCGUUAUCCGGAUUUAUUGGGUUUAAAGGGAGCGUAGGUGGAUUGUUAAGUCAGUUGUGAAAGUUUGCGGCGCAACCGUAAAAUUGCAGUUGAAACUGGCAGUCGUGAGUACAGUAGAGGUGGGCGGAAUUCGUGGUGUAGCGGUGAAAUGCUUAGAUAUCACGAAGAACUCCGAUUGCGAAGGCAGCUCACUGGACUGCAACUGACACUGAUGCUCGAAAGUGUGGGUAUCAAACAGGAUUAGAUACCCCAGUAGUC